Phragmites australis (common reed) is the source of this 139-nucleotide small nucleolar RNA. RefSeq annotates it as small nucleolar RNA Z247. The transcript has a single exon. NCBI's taxonomy places the organism in Eukaryota, Viridiplantae, Streptophyta, Magnoliopsida, Poales, Poaceae. The record is from RefSeq and is a predicted model, not a curated record.
CAUCUCUAAGAUUAAGAGCUUGUAUCAUACAUCCUCACCAGCCUCAACAUCGACUACAACCCGCUCGUCUCAACCAUUGCCACGUGAGUGGAGCCCAUCUCUUUGGGCAAACUCUAUGCUCAGAUGAUGAGCUUUGAGA